AAAUUGAAGAGUUUGAUCAUGGCUCAGAUUGAACGCUGGCGGCAGGCCUAACACAUGCAAGUCGAGCGGUAGCACAGAGAGCUUGCUCUCGGGUGACGAGCGGCGGACGGGUGAGUAAUGUCUGGGAAACUGCCUGAUGGAGGGGGAUAACUACUGGAAACGGUAGCUAAUACCGCAUAACGUCGCAAGACCAAAGUGGGGGACCUUCGGGCCUCAUGCCAUCAGAUGUGCCCAGAUGGGAUUAGCUAGUAGGUGGGGUAACGGCUCACCUAGGCGACGAUCCCUAGCUGGUCUGAGAGGAUGACCAGCCACACUGGAACUGAGACACGGUCCAGACUCCUACGGGAGGCAGCAGUGGGGAAUAUUGCACAAUGGGCGCAAGCCUGAUGCAGCCAUGCCGCGUGUGUGAAGAAGGCCUUCGGGUUGUAAAGCACUUUCAGCGGGGAGGAAGGCGAUGAGGUUAAUAACCUCAUCGAUUGACGUUACCCGCAGAAGAAGCACCGGCUAACUCCGUGCCAGCAGCCGCGGUAAUACGGAGGGUGCAAGCGUUAAUCGGAAUUACUGGGCGUAAAGCGCACGCAGGCGGUCUGUCAAGUCGGAUGUGAAAUCCCCGGGCUCAACCUGGGAACUGCAUUCGAAACUGGCAGGCUAGAGUCUUGUAGAGGGGGGUAGAAUUCCAGGUGUAGCGGUGAAAUGCGUAGAGAUCUGGAGGAAUACCGGUGGCGAAGGCGGCCCCCUGGACAAAGACUGACGCUCAGGUGCGAAAGCGUGGGGAGCAAACAGGAUUAGAUACCCUGGUAGUCCACGCCGUAAACGAUGUCGAUUUGGAGGUUGUGCCCUUGAGGCGUGGCUUCCGGAGCUAACGCGUUAAAUCGACCGCCUGGGGAGUACGGCCGCAAGGUUAAAACUCAAAUGAAUUGACGGGGGCCCGCACAAGCGGUGGAGCAUGUGGUUUAAUUCGAUGCAACGCGAAGAACCUUACCUGGUCUUGACAUCCACAGAACUUUCCAGAGAUGGAUUGGUGCCUUCGGGAACUGUGAGACAGGUGCUGCAUGGCUGUCGUCAGCUCGUGUUGUGAAAUGUUGGGUUAAGUCCCGCAACGAGCGCAACCCUUAUCCUUUGUUGCCAGCGGU
RNAcentral lists this ribosomal RNA (1133 nucleotides) under Klebsiella pneumoniae. Its description in RNAcentral is "bacterial SSU rRNA". It matches the Rfam family "Bacterial small subunit ribosomal RNA", at positions 1 to 1125 of the family's 1533-position model. The record is from RNAcentral. Lineage: Bacteria; Pseudomonadati; Pseudomonadota; Gammaproteobacteria; Enterobacterales; Enterobacteriaceae.